GAUGAAUGCUGGCGGCGUGCCUAAUACAUGCAAGUCGAGCGAAUGGAUUGAGAGCUUGCUCUUAUGAAGUUAGCGGCGGACGGGUGAGUAACACGUGGGUAACCUGCCCAUAAGACUGGGAUAACUCCGGGAAACCGGGGCUGAUACCGGAUAACAUUUUGAACCGCAUGGUUCGAAAUUGAAAGGCGGCUUCGGCUGUCACUUAUGGAUGGACCCGCGUCGCAUGUAGCUAGUUGGUGAGGUAACGGCUCACCAAGGCAACGAUGCGUAGCCGCCCUGAGAGGGUGAUCGGCCACACUGGGACUGAGACACGGCCCAGACUCCUACGGGAGGCAGCAGUAGGGAAUCUUCCGCAAUGGACGAAAGUCUGACGGAGCAACGCCGCGUGAGUGAUGAAGGCUUUCGGGUCGUAAAACUCUGUUGUUAGGGAAGAACAAGUGCUAGUUGAAUAAGCUGGCACCUUGACGGUACCUAACCAGAAAGCCACGGCUAACUACGUGCCAGCAGCCGCCGUAA
Molecule: ribosomal RNA, 516 nt
Filed under: uncultured bacterium
Lineage: Bacteria
Description: partial 16S ribosomal RNA
Rfam family: Bacterial small subunit ribosomal RNA
Source: RNAcentral